Molecule: long non-coding RNA, 1582 nt
Organism: Alosa sapidissima (American shad)
Lineage: Eukaryota; Metazoa; Chordata; Actinopteri; Clupeiformes; Clupeidae
Exons: 4
Source: RefSeq, a predicted model, not a curated record
CACGGCUAAUUCGCUAGUUUCCUGACUAUAUGAUAGAAGUAAAUGUAAUUGACUGGAAGCACUGGGUGGCGCUAGCCUGGUUAAGAAAAUGGUGAAAUGUGUGAAAGUGUUAAGAGCUAUUUUUUACAACUCAACUGCUUUGUUUAUUUUACAACAUUUGUUUUUGUAGAAGUGCAGCCCACGAAGGGAACAGGAAGACCUCAGCCCUCAGCCUUAAUUCCUUUCAAAGGCAAAGUCUUUCUUCUGCUUACUCAGACCAGAAAAGUUAACACUACAAAGAAAGUGGUUUGUCUGUUUUUGUACAUUUACUUUCACAUCACUCUUGUAGUGUUUGUUACACCUGGGUCCUCAUUUAUUUGGCUUCUGUAUGCAGUCGUGGGCAAGCAGUUAGGGAGUCGGACUUGUAGCCCCAAGGUCACAGGUUCGAUUCUCGACACACUGCCACUCCCAUAACUGGGGUGCCCUGAGCUUGGUAGCGUCCAUAAGCACUGCUCCCUGUGUGCUGUAAUGGCUGCCCCCUGCUCACAUGUGUGAUGGGUUAAAAGCAGAGAAUUUCGUUGUGUGCACGGUGUGCUGUGGUGUGCUGCAAUGACAAUGGGACUUUACACUUACACAAAAAUGAUGCAUGCUCUUUUUUGUGUUUAAUUUGAAGUUUGGAGGAGAUUUUGGAGUGGGUGACUCUUCAGGUGGAUGAUGGUGGUACCUUUUCUAUAGUAGUAUCGAGAGAUGAUCUUUACACGCGCGCGAUGAUGCAGUGGCAGAGGCAAAAAAGAUCCUCUCCAAAACAUAGACUGCGAGUCUCCUUUUUUGGAGAAGAUGGCAUUGAUACGGGCGCCCUCAGCAAGGAAUUUUUCACAGGGCUAUUGUCCUCCACGCUACAACACGCGUGGUUCCAAUGCUGGACCAAUUGAGAAAAGGCAUGGAGCUCUAUAACAUGAAGAAAGUGUUGCAGGCCCAUGCAGACCUGUGUCAGCCUCUUUUUGUCCCAACAGAAGAUGAUGAGGUGGAUGCAGCCUUUCUUCUGGAAAUCUGCCGACUACAGUCUACAGUGACCAAGGCUCUAUAAGGUACAGUCGGGAGGUCACCGAUAUGAACAAUCUCCAAGAUUUCCUCCAAGAGAUCGAGGAUUGUGAUGAUGGCCAACUGACUGUUCCAAAAGUGAUGCAGUGGCUGACGGGACAGGCACACAAGCCGGUCUUACCCAGCAAGAAGAGGGACUUCGAUGUGUCUAUACAAUUCAAGCAUGAUUGUGAUGGACACGCAAUUUGUUUUCCGACAGUGAGUGCUUGCAGUCGCACUGUGACGCUUCCUGUAUUGCACAUGAGCACAAUUCAGCAGUUCAGAAAUAUAAUGGAGAUGGCCUUAACCCACGGAGGCUCCUUUGUUCAUGGUCCACGGAGGCUCCUUGAUUGUGCAUGUUUGGUGAGGGGGAGGGUACUUGAUCAAACCAACUGCCGUCACUUCAAUUACAUGGCUUCCAGGUCUUGAUAUUGCCCAUUUUAUUUUAGACAUAGGCCUACUCUUUACUUUAUUAUCGCUCUAGUUGUAUGUGAAUGUGUUGAACUUAAUCACCACAUAUUGC